UGCUUGAAAUGAAAACAUUCGAAUCUUCUCCUUAAAAACUUUUCUCUCGGGAAUAAUUCUUUGCAGUGAGAGCAUGCGUGACCAUACCGCGUUCCUCUCUGAAUGUACUGAAUACAAAAACUUGUGAGCAAGUAAUACGAGAGAACAAUGGAUUGGAAGAAUUGGGAGGGUCUUGGUCGGAGUCUUCGAGCCUUUCUAAAAACACGCCUGCCCAUGGUCACUCUGUCACAGUGCAAGGGACAAAGAACUCACGGUCUCGAAGAUCCAGAUGCAGCCCUACCAGGAGGAACCAGGGGAUAUCUGGAGGAAAAUGGCUAUGACAUGUGGUUGACAGCCCGAGAGCCCUGUCUUGUCGAGGAACCCGAAGCAUAGAGAGAGAAGGUAAUUUGAGCAAGAUCGCAUAGACAGCAAGGCCUGGUGUUCAGACUUGAUCCUAAGUGUUCUCUUGCUGCUGUAAUGAGCAGGUUUCCAAACCCUCAGUCUUUUCUGAACCUUGAACUUUCCCUUGUUAUGGGUUAAGGGAAGUAAGAAUCACGGUACAGAUGAGCUCCACCUUCCAGAGUCAGCAAACAGUCAGUCCAGAUUAUCUUGGCGAAUUCCUUUGUUAAGUGUCCAUGGCAGAGGCCAAAAUACCGAUUCUCUGAUAAGUCCAACAUAGCUGAUUUUUCCUCACUUAUUGACAAAGAUCCUUAUUCAAAGCACAGAUGCUGCCAUUCCACUGUCUGCUCCUUUCCUUGAUUGAUCUGGCCAGUGUUUGGAGUCACCAAUACUUUGCUCCAGCUCUGGCUUAGGCUGUGUGGCUAGGCAUGACUUCCACUCUCCAAGCCAGAAACAACCCGCUCCCACCCAGUUGCACAAGCAGAUGGUGGGGACAGGUCCGACUACUGUGGAUUUUUAUUUCAUAGCUAGAUUUCCACCUAAGAGAACAUUCUCGCUAUUCAAAUCUGUACCUUGAGGCACAUCUCGAGGAAAUGCUACUAAUCAGGAAAAAGGUACUGGGGCAGGAGCAGUGCUGGGCCCUGGGACAGCACUGGAACAGCAGAAAAUGGUCAUCCAAACCUUUCCACUAACUGGACUGUCUGCCUCUCAGUGAAGAUCUAUGAGAAUUGAAUGGAAUUGUGUUGGGAAGAGCAGAGUUUUUGCAUUUGAAACUGAUGAAAAAAAUGACAGUGCUGUUGGGUGCCCAGGAUAUGCACUAUUUAUCUGGGCAGCCACUGAAAUACCUGGAUAAUUUUAGAAGCAAGUGUGGUUAAUGGAGGAGCAGAAAGCAUUCCAUUUGUACCACUUCUGCAUUGCCAAUUAUGUUAAAAAAUUUUCUGAAUUAAGAUUACUGGCCAAGUAAAACAGAAACUCUUAACACUGUGAAGAUGAAAUCCUAAACAACACUCAGUUAAUGCUAGAUUAAGUAUCUCUUUGUGAGAAAUCACUAUUACAUUCUUUGCAAGCUGUUUAAAAUUCUUUGGAGUUCCAAGCCAGUACAAGUGAUGCCAAACAUAGACAUCCCUUCUCCCUCCCACGGAAAAAAAAAAAAAAAAAAAGACGGGAGGGAGUACAAAGAAAUGAUCCAUAUAGAGGUAAAUUUUAGAUAGCAAAAGGGAUUGAAGAUACCACAGAAACUAACUUUAAAUAUUGUUUCAAGUUCUAGGCAGUUCAGAGACAAUAGUCAAUAGUUUACAAAUAUGAGCGCUGUAGGUAUCUCUUAAAAGAAUCUAGGGCCAAGAUUAUUCAGGAUAUUUCAGAGGGAAAUAGACCUCCUAUUAGGCUUUCAGGCUCCUACAGAUCCCUUCUACCUGAAGAUUACAGACAAAACAAUUCUGAUGUAUUUUUUUAUUGAGGUGGUGUAUACUUCGCAAACAAAAAAAUGCACUCAUUUUUAAGUGCACCAGUCAAUGAAUUUGGACAGCUUGUGCACCAGCGUACCCAUCCAAACAAACUAGAUAUUCCCACUGGCCUAGAAAGUCUCCUUAUGUCCCUUCUCAGUGCAGGUUCCCCGCACAAGUGGCGGUGUCUCCUCCAUCCCAUUUCUAUCACCAUAGACUCAUUUUGCCUGCUCUAGAACCUGACCAAGUUGGAACUUGACAGUUAAGCAUCUCUGUUCAUUUGGCUUCUUUCACUCGGCAUGGUGGUUUUGAGAUUUGUCCACGUUCCUUAAUCCUUGCAGCCUUACCCUGUUGUAGAUAG
Mustela putorius furo (domestic ferret) is the source of this 2181-nucleotide long non-coding RNA. Lineage: Eukaryota; Metazoa; Chordata; Mammalia; Carnivora; Mustelidae. The record is from Ensembl.